This 119-nucleotide ribosomal RNA is filed under the name Eucalyptus grandis. Lineage: Eukaryota; Viridiplantae; Streptophyta; Magnoliopsida; Myrtales; Myrtaceae. The record is from RNAcentral.
GGGUGCGAUCAUACCAGCACUAAUGCACCGGAUCCCAUCAGAACUCCGAAGUUCAGCGUGCUUGGGCGAGAGUAGUACUAGGUUGGGUGACCUCCUGGGAAGUCCUCGUGUUGCACCCC